CCUACGGGAGGCAGCAGUGGGGAAUCUUGCGCAAUGGGCGAAAGCCUGACGCAGCGACGCCGCGUGAGGGAUGAAGGCCUUCGGGUUGUAAACCUCUUUCAGCGGGGACGAAGCGAAAGUGACGUACCCGCAGAAGAAGCCCCGGCCAACUACCUGCCAGCAGCCGCGGUAAU
This 173-nucleotide ribosomal RNA is filed under the name uncultured actinomycete WkB27. RNAcentral describes it as "partial 16S ribosomal RNA". It matches the Rfam family "Bacterial small subunit ribosomal RNA", at positions 338 to 524 of the family's 1533-position model. Lineage: Bacteria; Bacillati; Actinomycetota; Actinomycetes; Actinomycetales. The record is from RNAcentral.